AUGCAGUCGAGGGGCAGCGGGGAAAAGCUUGCUUUUCCGCCGGCGACCGGCGCACGGGUGCGCACCGCGUAUGGAACCUACCUUUUACAGGGGAAUAGCCCAGGGAAACUUGGAUUAAUGCCCCGUGGCACCAUUUUCUGGCAUCAGGAUAUGGUUAAAGCCUUCGGGCGGUAGAAGAUGGCCAUGCGUCCCAUUAGCUUGAUGGUAAGGUAACGGCUUACCAUGGCUACGAUGGGUAGGGGCCCUGAGAGGGGGAUCCCCCACACUGGUACUGAGACACGGACCAGACUCCUACGGGAGGCAGCAGUGAGGAAUAUUGGACAAUGGAGGAGACUCUGAUCCAGCCAUGCCGCGUGCAGGAAGAAUGCCCUAUGGGUAGUAAACUGCUUUUAUACGGGAAGAAAAAGGGCUACGUGUAGCCUGUUGACGGUACCGUAAGAAUAAGGACCGGCUAACUCCGUGCCAGCAGCCGCGGUAAUACGGAGGGUCCGAGCGUUAUCCGGAAUUAUUGGGUUUAAAGGGUCCGUAGGCGGGCCGGUAAGUCAGUGGUGAAAGUCUGUAGCUCAACUAUAGAAUUGCCUUUGAUACUGCUGGUCUUGAGUUAUGGUGAAGUUGCCGGAAUAUGUGGUGUAGCGGUGAAAUGCAUAGAUAUCACAUAGAACACCGAUUGCGAAGGCAGGUGACUAACCAUAUACUGACGCUGAUGGACGAAAGCGUGGGGAGCGAACAGGAUUAGAUACCCUGGUAGUCCACGCCGUAAACGAUGGAUACUAGCUGUCCGGGUCCUUGAGGCCUGGGCGGCCAAGCGAAAGUGAUAAGUAUCCCACCUGGGGGAGUACGUUCGCAAGAAUGAAACUCAAAGGAAUUGACGGGGGGCCCGCACAAGCGGUGGAGCAUGUGGUUUAAUUCGAUGAUACGCGAGGAACCUUACCAGGGCUUAAAUGCAUAUUGACAGGGGUAGAGAUACCUUUUCCUUCGGGCAAUUUGCA
RNAcentral lists this ribosomal RNA (989 nucleotides) under uncultured bacterium. RNAcentral describes it as "bacterial SSU rRNA". It matches the Rfam family "Bacterial small subunit ribosomal RNA", at positions 55 to 1035 of the family's 1533-position model. The record is from RNAcentral.